AACGAACGCUGGCGGCAUGCCUAACACAUGCAAGUCGAACGAGACCUUCGGGUCUAGUGGCGCACGGGUGCGUAACGCGUGGGAACCUGCCUUUAGGUUCGGAAUAACUCAGAGAAAUUUGAGCUAAUACCGGAUAAUGUCUUCGGACCAAAGAUUUAUCGCCUUUAGAUGGGCCCGCGUUGGAUUAGCUAGUUGGUGGGGUAAAGGCCUACCAAGGCGACGAUCCAUAGCUGGUCUGAGAGGAUGAUCAGCCACACUGGGACUGAGACACGGCCCAGACUCCUACGGGAGGCAGCAGUGGGGAAUAUUGGACAAUGGGCGAAAGCCUGAUCCAGCAAUGCCGCGUGAGUGAUGAGCUAGGUGUAAGACUCUUUACUCGGACGGAUAAUAGACGGUACCGAGAGAAUAAG
Molecule: ribosomal RNA, 410 nt
Filed under: uncultured bacterium
Lineage: Bacteria
Description: bacterial SSU rRNA
Rfam family: Bacterial small subunit ribosomal RNA
Source: RNAcentral